CUUCGACCGUUUUACGCAAGCCCCACCCACCCCGGGCCAUCCAGCCCGGCACAGCCUGUCCGUAGCUCCGGUGUGUUGGCCAGCGUCCACUUGGCUGCUGGAGUCGCCUGCGGGUGGGGCUGGACCGAUUUCUCCACGACAGACAUAACGUAUUCAUCUGGAGGCUGGGGAGAUGGCUCUCCAGUUAAGAGCGCUGGCUUGCUCUUCCACAGAUCCUGAGUUCAGUUCCUAGCAACCACAUGGUGGCUCACGAUCACCUAUAAAAGGAGCUGAUGCCCUCUUCUGGCGUGCAGGUGUACAUGCAGACAGAGCACACAUACAUUAAGAAAAUAAAAAUAAAUAAAUAUCUA
Molecule: non-coding RNA, 350 nt
Organism: Rattus norvegicus (Norway rat)
Lineage: Eukaryota; Metazoa; Chordata; Mammalia; Rodentia; Muridae
Source: RefSeq, a predicted model, not a curated record